This 393-nucleotide ribosomal RNA is filed under the name uncultured bacterium. Its description in RNAcentral is "partial 16S ribosomal RNA". It matches the Rfam family "Bacterial small subunit ribosomal RNA", at positions 523 to 918 of the family's 1533-position model. The record is from RNAcentral.
AUACGGAAGGUCCGGGCGUUAUCCGGAUUUAUUGGGUUUAAAGGGAGCGCAGGCGCCAGUGCAAGCGUGACGUUAAAUGUCGGGGCUCACCCCCGUUUUGCGUCGCGAACCGUUCUGCUUGAGUAGGCGGCAGGGAGGCGGAAUUCGCGGUGUAGCGGUGAAAUGCUUAGAUAUCGCGAGGAACUCCGAUAGCGCAGGCAGCCUCCCGUUGCCUUACUGACGCUCAUGCUCGAAGGUGCGGGUAUCGAACAGGAUUAGAUACCCUGGUAGUCCGCACUGUAAACGAUGGAUGCCCGCUGUUGGGUCGGUAAGAUUCAGCGGCCAAGCGAAAGCGUUAAGCAUCCCACCUGGGGAGUACGCCGGCAACGGUGAAACUCAAAGGAAUUGACGGGG